RNAcentral lists this long non-coding RNA (478 nucleotides) under Populus tremula. RNAcentral's name for it is "long non-coding RNA (PTRE_LNC000318)". The record is from RNAcentral. Lineage: Eukaryota; Viridiplantae; Streptophyta; Magnoliopsida; Malpighiales; Salicaceae.
UUUGGAAGUGCCAACUCAGAAAAAUUUCAAGUUUUCAUCUCAUAAACAUUUGCACAUCGCAUCCUACAAAAUGAAAUACAGACCCACUCCUCAACCUGAAGCUUAGCCAUGGCAGAAGCAGGCAGAUGAAAAGUGAAUCACCAAAACCCUUUCCACUGUCAAACUGAUCACACACAAAAAUCAUGGAGCAGCAGAACCUGAAGAAAGUCUGUCACGCCUUGCUUUAUCAGCCUUUUCCAUGUAAUCUUGAUGAGACGAGUGCUUUGUUCCUAUGGGAGAAAAGAUUGUCAUAGUUAAUAGCAGCUGAUAUUUUUGCGGGCGAAACAACAAUGAAAUUGAUAAACCGACGUGAAAAAAUGACACCCACUUCUCAAACGGUGACGGUGGUUGAUUGUUGGCUUGGCUGAGAGCAAGCUACAAGAGAAGACUGAUUCGGGAUGUUAAUUUGGGAUUUUCAAUUUGGGAUUUUCAAGAGAAG